CUAGAUUUUAUAGAAUAUGUAAGAAAAUUAAAUUACAUUGCAAUUACAGGUAAAAACUAAAGUACAUAUCUAUCAACACAGUCAAGUUGUUACUUUGGCAAAAUCAAUAGAAAUUCCAACUACAACACUUUUCACGUGAACUUAAGAUAUACGUUAAAAGUUCUUUUGAAAAAUCAAAAACUUGCAAUAUCUUUGAUGUUCAACCACCACUAGCUAAUUUGCUACUUCACUGGGGUGGCUGGAUCAUUUUAAGAAAUGCUUUAUCUUUGAAUAUUUUUUUAUAGAUGUCAUGUCUUUAUAGUGGCGUUUUGCUUAAAUCAGCACAAACGCACAAUUAAGUAUGCACAAACAUGCAAGUUCGGUCUCUUUUAGACCAUCACAAUAUCAUCAUUGAGUUUGAAUUUUGAUUGCUUAUUUAGUCCCCUCUAUUAAAAUCAUUAGAAAUGGCUGUUAAACAUUUGUUAAAAGAUAUUUUUACCCUUUUUAUAUACGACAGGGACCAUUUCUGUAUUUUACUCUAAAAUAAAUAAUAAAGAAUAAACGAAUUCUAACCAAAAAUACUGGAUUUAUUGAAUAUGAUGGUUGUAUUAGCUUGGCUUCCAUCAUACCAUAUGGUGAUAGCUUCAAUAUAAACAAUGUAAACUCAUUAAAUGAAAUUCCAAAUUUUCCACUCGCCGUGUGUGUAUCCGUUCUUAUAGAUCUCUGACUCUCAAGUAGAGUACACUUAAAUAGAUGUAAAGAGCAUAUCGGGGGGAGCAACUUAGAGACGUUGUUGGCACCAUUUUUCAUAGUGAGUACCAAAAAAGGAUCUGCUUUACCCAUUAGAUAUUAGAUAUGUAGGUGGUAAUCAUCAGCCGAUAUUACUAUCUCCUCUUCUACUUACCGCUAUUCUUUAUUCAUCAAGUAAAUCAUCAUUUUAAUGCCUAAAUCCUAUUUUAUAACUUUUUCCGACAAGUAAACGGGUUAAUAAUUAAACUCAUUUCUGACACCAUCUAGGUGAUAUUACAGCUCUAAGUGCACCCCAUUUGUCUUCAUUGUCUAUGUGGACCUCCAAAUCUUUUAAAAUUUCAACCACACGUCCUCCAAUUUACCAGCGACAAGUUCAGUCAACUUCACUUGACCACAUGCUAAGGAUCGUUAUAUAGGUACCUGGAAUGGUUAAUAGUAAAAAGACAAUAUUAGAAUAUACACCGUAUUGAAAUGUAAUUGAUUCCACCAUGGUCCAUAUAAGAAUUUAACUAACAAAAAUAUCCUUUGUAUGUGUGAGUGAAAGCAAAUAAUCUAGGGAAAUGAAAACUGAAACAAAAAACUUACAAGAAUUUAUCAAUCGGCAAAAUUCACAGAUGAAAACUUAUACACCUACAUAGUCUAACGUUUGUCCUUAUGCUUUAUUAAAGGGAAUUGUGAAGAGCAUGGUUUGAUUGGAAAUUGCAUUCUUUUGAAUGGAACUGUGUAUUCUUCAUAUGUAGGUAAUAUAUACUGUGAUUCAGUCUCUGUUCAUCAUGUAGUUAUUUCCUCUUAUCAUAAUUCAGUUUUUUCAGGUAGAUGGCAGAGAAUCUAAGUAUUUUAUAAGUUUGGCUUCUUAUUUUGUAACCGUAUUUUACUCACAAGACUUGGUAGAUACUCAAAUUAUUAGACUUGGUAUUUCCCUUUAGUAAGAUGGUCUAUAAUUAAGAUAAAUCUAUAAUUUACAAUCAUGUGAUUUAAGCUCUUCCUAAUGACCACACUCCAGGUGCCUUCAAGAACAAUAUUAAAUUUUGAAUAUGGGUAAUUUACUUUAAUUCUAACCUACACUUACAAUAUUUUAACCCACAGACCUAUCCAUUGAUGAUUUAUGUAUUUCGAUUAAUUCCGAACCUAAUGGGCAUCAAUUUAAUAUGAUUGUUAGGAACAUUUUUACUGAACUUGGUUGAUCCCUUGAUAAUAAUCAGAUGUCAUCGGCUCAUUGCAAUCGUUGGCUAUUUAAAAGUACAGUAGUGUGGAGAUAAAAGACUUUUUUUGGAAUAUGUUGGGUGAUUGUGGCAUGUUGAACUUCAUACUUUAAGUAUAUGUUGUUGUAAUGGGUUUUGUUCAGUAAUAAUUAUGCUAUGAAACUAAUAUUGGCUAUAUAAUAGACUCCAAAUGAAAUUGUUAGGUGUGGGUAUGUUAAAAUUGUAAGUAUUAUAUAUUGUAACUUGUAAGUAUCAAUAUAUGAAUGAUUCAUUCAUCUUCUAUAUUCAACACCUUAUGCAGAAAUAAUGGAUGGGUAAACAGGUUAGCCCUCUUAUAUAUCUACCAAUUUGAUAUUACAUGGUUUCAUCGAUUUUAAGGGUUGCAAUUAAAAUUUCAAAUCACAAUAUAUAUACUUUUGAAUAUUUAUUAAAAUGCAAUAAAGUCACUGAAAGAUAAACUUUACCUUCUUCACUAAGUUCAUUUGUAAUUACACACAAAUAUGCACUCUUUUCAUACAUUUCACCCUUCUCUUCUUCAUUUGGUGCAACAAUUGCCUCACGAAGCAUCUGUACAUAGUAAAUAAGAAGACAUCCAAUUAACGAAAUCCAUAUCAAAUUAUCUCAAGAACAGUUAGUUAUAUAGAUUUUAGAGCAAAGAAACUCAUUUGCCAUUUGGGUAGUGAAUCAAACUGAUGGAAAAAUGCAGCCACAACGGUAAACCACAAUGCGGAAUAAUACUUCGUUUGACUAAACUAUUCCCGUCUUGAAUGAACCUUUUAGGAUGCAAACAAAUAGGAUAUUUUUACUUGCAACAAGACAACCCCAAUGCAAGUUAUAUGAUCAAUAUAAUCAACCCAAAACUAUAAGUAAUCAACCAAUAACCACACCAGAAUUUUAGCGUGGAAACCUCUCAAGAAAGGAGAGUAAAACCACGGGACUACUAGAGCCGCUUCAAAUCCACUAUCACCAAUAUUUAAGCAAUACAAAAAAUCUUCUAUAGAUGUACUAGAGGCAUACAAUAAUCAUCAUAUACUUGGAACUAAAUCACAUCAAGCAUAUGUAAUCAAAUAAGCAAAGACAAAGAAGAAUAUCACCAAAAACGUUCUUGAUUUCCAGCAGCAAACAGAGGUGACGAUUCCCGAGUCUCUGGAGCUGAUCUCGGAAAUUCAACCGUUGGAUCUGAAGGACUAGGUGUUAGGAAGCGGCUGUCCAAAAAUCAAAGGAAACGGACCGUUGGAUCUCCGGGAAAUUACCAAACAUUCCAGGUGUAUCUUCAAAAACGGGAAUUAAGAAAAAACCCUCUUUUGCUUCUUCCUUUCUCUUGCUCUCUUGGUGGCUGAAAACCUUUUUGUGUGUUAGUGAAAUUAGGGCAUGUCCCACAUAUAUAUAUACAUGGGCCAAAAAAAGUGGGCUUUCCUCAUGGGCUAAAAAACCCAAUAGAAAACCCAACAAAUCUCCCCCUUUUUCGCCUAUGAGGAAGAGUUCGCCAUCCCGACGAUCGAGCAACAUAUCUUUAACUUCUCCCUUGCUAAAGCUUUAGUCAACAUAUCGGAACCAUUAUCAUCAGUAUGAACUUUUUCAAGUUCAAACAAUUUGUCUUAAAGUGCGUCUCUAAUCCAAUGAUACCUCACAUCGAUAUGCUUUGUUCUUUUGUGAAACAUAGAAUUCUUAGCAAGGUGAAUGACACUUUGAUUAUCACAAAGAACCAUGUAGCGUUUUUGCAUAAAUUCAAGCUCUUGCAUAAAUCUUUUCAGCCACAAUAACUCUUUUCAUGCUUCUGUUGUUGCCAUAUACUCAGCCUCAGUGGUGGACAAGGCAACACACUUUUGCAGUCGUGACUGCCAUGACACAGCUCCCCCUGCAAAAGUCAUAAAAUAUCCAUAAGUAGAUUUCAUGUUGUCCUUGUUUCCUGCCAUAUCAAAAUAUGUAUAACCAACAAGCAUAGGUGCUCCAUUUCCAAAUGUUAUACCCAAUUUGGAAGUACCACGUAGAUAUAUGAAAAUCCACUUAACUGAUUCCCAAUGCUUCUUUCCCGGAUUUGACAGAAACCGACUAACAACACCAACUGCAUGGGCAAUAUCUAGCCUUGUACACACCAUGGCAUACAUCAAACUCCCAACGGAUGAUGCAUAUGGAACUCUAUCCAUCUCUUCAAUCUCCUUCUUAGUAGAAGGGCAAUCUCUAUCAGUCAGCUUAAAGUUGGUAGUUAGGGGCGAACUAACCACUUUAGCUUUAUCCUUGUUGAAUCUGCAAAGCACCUUCUCAAUGUAUUGCUCUUGUGACAUAUGCAACUUCUUUGAAGCUCUAUCUCUAGUAAUCCGAAUGCCAAGAAUCUGUUUUGUCGGCCCCAAGUCUUUCAUAGCAAAAGACUUGCUCAAUUGUUUCUUUAGCUGAACAAUUCUCUCUGCAUUCUUGCCAACAAUCAACAUAUCAUCAACAUAAAGCAACAAAAUGAUGAAAUCAUCAUCACCAAACCUCUGGAAGAAAACACAGUGAUCUGAAGUAGUUUUGCGGUAGCCUUGCUCACCCAUGACUGACUCAAAUUUCUUAUACCACUGUCUUGGUGCUUGCUUCAACCCAUAAAGACUUUUAUGAAGCCUACACAUAUAGUCUUCUUUGCCCUUAACCUGAAAACCUUCAGGUUGCUCCAUAUAAAUUUCCUUGUCCAAGUCACCGUGAAGGAAAGCUGUCUUGACAUCCAUUUCCUCAACCUCAAGAUCAAGGCUAGCAGCCAAACCAAGAAUCACCCGAAUGGAACCCAUCUUCACGACCGGAGAGAAAAUCUCAUCAAAAUCAACACCCUUUCUUUGACUGAACCCUUUGACCACCAAUCUAGCCUUGUACCUAGGCCGUGAGGUAUGCUCUUCAGUCUUCACUUUGUAGACCCACUUGUUCUUCAAAGCUCUCUUGCCUUUAGGCAACUUCACCAACUCAAAGGUAUUGUUUUCAUGCAAGGAAUUCAUCUCAUCUUGCAUAGCUUCAACCCACUCUCUUUUAUGCUCAUCUUCCAUAGCUUCUGCAUAACAAUCAGGUUCUCCCCCAUCAGUGACUAAAAUAUACUCAUCAGCAGAAUAACGGGUGGAAGGAUGACGAUCUCUCGUAGACCGCCUAAGUGGGACAAAUGGUGGUAUAUCAGGUACUGGUAACUCUGGAUGAAAAUCCUCAUCCAAACCCGACUGCUCUGGAACAUCAUUGUCAUCAAUACCAUGUUGUUCAUCAUUCUGAAUAUCUUCAUUAAUUGGCUCAAAAUGUUGAGGGGGAACAAGAUCCAAAUCAACACGAUCAUCAAUAUAUUGAGGAACUAUCUUUGUCUUCUCAAUAUCUUUUAAACUCUGAUCUUCAACAAAUACAACAUCACGACUCCUUACGAGUUUCUUCAGAACUGGAUCAUAUAACAUGUAACUGAAUUCAUCUUGGCCAUAACCAAGGAAUAUACACGGCUUGGUCUUCACUUCAAGCUUUGAUCUUUCAUCUUUGGGAAUAUGCACAAAAGCCUUGCAUCCAAAGACCCGUAAAUGACGAUACGAAACAUCUUUUCCACUCCAAACCCUGUCAGGAACAUCAAAAGACAAAGGAACACAGGGAGUAAGAUUAAUAACAUGUACCGCUGUAUUCAAAGCUUCUCCUCAAAAAGAAUCUUUCACCCAAAGUUCUAUUCAUCCGUUCUGCUAAACCGUUCAACUGUGGUGUCUUUGGAGGAGUCUUUUGGUGCCGAAUACCUUGCGCUCUACAAUAAGCAUCAAAAGGACCAAUGUAUUCACCGCCAUUAUCUGUCCGAACACACUUCAAUUUCUUCCCAGUUUGUCUCUCAACCAAGGCAUGAAACUUCUUAAACACAUCUAAUACUUGAUCUUUAGUCUUCAAAGUAUCAACCCAUACCUUCCUUGAAUAGUCAUCGAUGAAUGUGACAAAAUACAAGCAACCCCCAAGUGUCCUAGUCUUCAUGGGACCACAUACAUCGGAAUGUACCAGAUCAAGUAUAUUCUCCUUCCUGGAAGGAGGAUGACUCUUAAAGGAAACUCUAUUUUGCUUACCUGCCAGACAAUGAGAACAUCUCUUCAAAUUCACAUCAUGCACACCGGUUAACACAUUUCUCUUCAAAAACAAAGACAUCGCCUUUUCACUCAUGUGACCAAGUCUCUUAUGCCACAAAUCGGUCAUGUCACAAUGUAUCGAUGCAUGGAUCGAUUCUUUGGAGAUCUUCGGAUGUGUCAUGUAUAACUUGGAGCUUCUUUCACCUCUUGCCACAAUCAAAGAAUCACGGGUGAGUUUCCAAAUGCCACCACCAAAGGUACUAUGGUAACCAUCAUCAUCAAGUAAGCCAGCAGAGAUCAAACUAAGUCUAAUAUCUGGAACAUGUUUUACAUUGUGUAAAACCAACUCCAUCCCAGUCUCAAACUUCAAACAAAUAUCUCCGACUCCAACAAUCUUUGAUAACCCAUUAUUACCCAUCUUAACAUUCCCAAAAUCACCAGGAGUGUAAGAUGUGUAAAACUCCCUUUGUGAUGUCACAUGACAAGUAGCACCACUUUCAACAACCCAACUCGAAUCAUCAUGUGCAAGAUUGACCAUAUCAUAAUCACAACAAAUAAAGAACUCUUCAGUAGCAGUGUUAACUUCAGCAGUAUCAUUACCACCAUCAUCUUUCUUGUGGUUGUUCUUUUGAUUAUUGUAAUUUACCUUCUUGUUCUCCCUUUUCAAUUGUCCGCAGAAUCAUAUUGUGUGCCCUUUUCUACCACAAUGAUUGCACUCAUAGUCAGCAAACUUUCCUUUAGAUUUACUGCGAUGCUUCCCUUUGUUAUUCGGACCUCUACUUUGACUUCUCCCCCUGCUUUCUGUGACCAAGAUAUCUGAAUGUGAAGAGGAACCUUGUGACUUUCUUCUCAUCUCUUCAUUUAAAACACCGCCUUUAGCCAAUUCCAUGGUGAUAAUACCAUCUGGUGCAGAGUUGGACAAGGAUGUCCUAAAAAUUUCCCAAGAAUCUAGUAAAGUGCCAAGGAGCCAUAAACCUUGUAACUCAUCUUUAAACUUGAUACCCAUUCCUGCAAGCUGAUUAAUAAUUCCCUGGAAAGAAUUCAAAUGAUCACUAAUAGGAUUUCCGUCAUGGUACUUCAAGUCAAUCAACUGUUUAAUCAGGAACAAUUUAUUGUUCCCGGUCUUCCGAGCAUACAACUGCUCAAGCUUGUUCCACAAAGUAUGAGAAUGAGUUUCCGCGCUAAUAUGGAUCAAAACAUUAUCAUCAACCCAUUGUCGAAUAUACCCACAAACUUUUUUAUGCAAAAUAUUCCACUCUGCAUCUGUUUUAUCAUCGGGUUUUUCAGUAUUAAACACAUGCAUGUAAUAAUCCUUCACAUAAAUAAGGUCUUCCAUCUUGCCUCUCCAAACAUGAUAAUUAGAACCAUUCAAAUUUACAAUCCUAUUUGUAUUAGCUUCCAUUGUUCAAACAAGUAACCUAGUAACAAGAACCACACUCUGAUACCAAUCAGAUGGAAAAAAUGCAGCCACAACGGUAAACAACAAUGCGGAAUAAUACUUCGUUUGACUAAACUAUUCCCGUCUUGAAUGAACCUUUUAGGAUGCAAACAAAUAGGAUAUUUUUACUUGUAACAAGACAAACCCAAUGCAAGCUAUAUGAUCAAUAUAAUCAACCCAAAAAUAUAAGUAAUCAACCAAUAACGACACCGGAAUUUUAGCGUGGAAACCUCUCAAGAAAGGAGAGUAAAACCACGGGACUACUAGAGCCGCUUCAAAUCCACUAUCACCAAUAUUUGAGCAAUACAAAAAAUCUUCUCUAGAUGUACUAGAGGCAUACAAUAAUCAUCAUAUACUUGAAACUAAAUCAGAUCAAGCAUAUGGAAUCAAAUAAGCAAAGACAAAGAAGAAUAUCACCAAAAACGUUCUUGAUUUCCAGCAGCAAACAGAGGCGAUGAUUCCCGAGUCUCUGGAGCUGAUCUCGGAAAUUCAACCGUUGGAUCUGAAGGCCUAGGUGUUAGGAAGUUUCUGUCCAAAAAUCAAAGGAAAUGGACCGUUGGAUCUCCGGGAAAUUACCAAACACUGCAGGUGUAUCUUCAAAAACGGGAAUUAAGAAAAAACCCUCUUUUGCUUCUUCCUCUCUCUUGCUCUCUUGGUGGCUGAAAACCUUUUUGUGUGUUAGUGAAAUUAGGGCAUUUCCCACAUAUAUAUACAUGGGCUAAAAAAAGUGGGCUUUCCUCAUGUGCUAAAAAACCCAAUAGAAAAC
RNAcentral lists this long non-coding RNA (8169 nucleotides) under Lactuca sativa (garden lettuce). RNAcentral describes it as "long non-coding RNA (LSAT_LNC006971)". The record is from RNAcentral. Lineage: Eukaryota; Viridiplantae; Streptophyta; Magnoliopsida; Asterales; Asteraceae.